This 382-nucleotide ribosomal RNA is filed under the name uncultured bacterium. RNAcentral describes it as "partial 16S ribosomal RNA". It matches the Rfam family "Bacterial small subunit ribosomal RNA", at positions 338 to 734 of the family's 1533-position model. The record is from RNAcentral.
CCUACGGGAGGCUGCAGUGGGGAAUAUUGGGCAAUGGGCGCAAGCCUGACCCAGCAACGCCGCGUGAAUGAAGAAGGCUUUCGGGUUGUAAACUUCUUUUCUCAGGGACGAAGCAAGUGACGGUACUUGAGGAAUAAGCUACGGCUAACUACGGGCCAGCAGCCGCGGUAAUACGUAGGGGGGAAGCGUUAUCAGGAUUUACUGGGAGGAAAGGGCGUGUAGGCGGGGACGCAAGUCAGAUGUGAAAACCACGGGCUCAACCUGUGACCUGCAUUUGAAACUGUGUGUCUUGAGUACUGGAGAGGCAGACAGAAUUCCUGGUGUAGCGGUGAAAUGCGUAGAGAUUAGGAGGAACACCAGUGGCGAAGGCGGUCUGCUGGAC